CCCUUUUAGAUGGGGACAACAUCGCGAAAGCGGUGCUAAUACCGAAUGUUGAUAAUGAAAUGCAUGUUUCGUUAUUUAAGGAUGGCCUCUAUAUAUAAGCUAUCGCUAAAAGAUGGGUCUGCGUCUGAUUAGCUAGUUGGUGAGAUAACAGCCCACCAAGGCAACGAUCAGUAGCCGGUCUGAGAGGAUGAACGGCCACAUUGGGACUGAGACACGGCCCAA
Molecule: ribosomal RNA, 222 nt
Filed under: uncultured bacterium
Lineage: Bacteria
Description: partial 16S ribosomal RNA
Rfam family: Bacterial small subunit ribosomal RNA
Source: RNAcentral